Long non-coding RNA from Delphinapterus leucas (beluga whale), 2460 nucleotides. RefSeq lists it as uncharacterized. NCBI's taxonomy places the organism in Eukaryota, Metazoa, Chordata, Mammalia, Artiodactyla, Monodontidae. The record is from RefSeq and is a predicted model, not a curated record.
CACCCCAACCCCGGCGCAGCCGCUGUCCACCUGCCAGCGGGGGAGGGGCGCGGCGAGCGCCGCGGGUCAUAGGUCUCCGGGCCGCCAGCCGUCGUCAUUCAUGAGGCCUGGCGCAGGACAGCAGCAGCAGGCCCAGGGUCCAUGCCGGGGUCGUCCUGGGUCUCCCUCAGCUACAGCCCGAGCUUCAGGAGGAUGCUGAGCUCCGGGAGGGGGGCGCUCAGUAGCCAUCCCUUUGCUGGGUGCCCACGCUGGGCUCAUGCCAGCAGUAAGAGCUGGCACUUGCUAAAUACAUUACUUCGUACCACACUCCUGUCAUGUAGGUACUAGUCUCAUCGCUCCCGUUUUACAGAUGAGGAAGCUGGGGCACAGCCAGACUGAGGACUCCCUCUGUCUGGGCAAUGCAAAAGGAACCUCUUCUCCUGGAGCAGAAGUGCAAGAUAAGCCCUGUUUUCAGGGUGCCCUUUAAAUACAGCCUGAGGACGAACAGCUGGGUUGCUUAAGUUUUGACAAAGAAAAACCCCUCCCUGGACCUCAGUCUGGAAUACAACUGUAACAAGCAAGACUAGAGUAAGAAGCUGAGCAAGCGGACAAGGAGCAGUCAACCUACUGGCUGGGGAAGGAGGCUGCCCGGUCAUGAGGCGAGAUGGACAAAACUGCCUCAGUCUACCCAAGACAAAAGCAGAAACAGUCUAGAUGAAGUGCUUUUUAUUUUUAGACCAACCAAACAUAUUUAAUAUAAAAACCUUUCAAUAGACAAACUACCAUCACAACAGCAUCCAUGUAGCAGCGAGGGGAUGCGGGCAAGGGUGGGGAGCGUGGUGGAGGGGGGAAGGUUUUCAGGCUCCCUCCUGCUUCUCUUGUCUGCACUGCGGCCUCUGAGAGCAUGAGGUCUUAGGAGAGGGCAGAUCAAGGCAGCCAGAAGCAGAGGGGCCCUGAUACCGAUACUGAGACAGAGCACAAAAGGCCCCUCCAACAUACCAUCUUCCCACAAGGGCAGCCUCCAGGGAAAGCCAGAUCCAGCUGGGAGGCAGCAGGAAGGUGGCUGCGACUGAGGGGAGCAUCAACCAUCUCUUCUCAGCAUCCUGCUGAUCACCCUUCUGGGAACAGAGUUUUCCAGAGGGCUACUGGAUUGAAAAGACCUAAAAAUCAUCCUAGGAGAAGGACAGAAAUUGUGUCCGAGUCCACCUUCUACCAAGGCUCCUGGCCUGUGACUCCAGAAAGCUGGGUGGGUCUGCUCAGAUGUUUGGGAAGGAAAAUGAAUGACAGAGCCUUUGGCCCAACAAGGCUGAAGCCUUGCCAGGCAUAGACCAAGAAAUCCUCAAGGCAAGCCAGGGAGGUCUGUGGGAAGAGCUUUGGGUCAACGGUACUAUUGGAGUGCAGUGGCACAGUGGCCCGCAGGUGGAGUUUCUAAUGUGUGUGGAAGCGAGAAAGGACACGAGAGAGAAAAAAUUAAGAACUGAAGUACCUGCUUCUUUCAGGCCUGGGCAGUAGAGCCCGGCGCUCCGAGAGCUGAGCACUAUGUGAAAACCUUAAGAAGUGACCUUGGCUCCCAAUUCCAACGACUCAACUACCCCCAGGUGCCGAGGAGCCAGCCUGUCUGAAGCGGGAAGCGUGGAGAAAGGACCCACCUGAGAGAAGUCUGGCUUUAGGGGCGGGUUCUCCCGCAGCUCAGGGUUAGGGUACUCAUUGUUGACGUAGUAGCCCACUCGGAUGAACUCCUGUCCGUGGUAGGUGCAGGUGAUGAGGACCACAGUCACACCCACGGCGUCAGUCUCAGGGAUGAGGGAUGGGUUGGGGGCAUCGGCCUAGGGGAAACACAGGCUGGGCCUUAGCACUGAUUGCCCGUCACACCUUGACCGGUAAUACGAUUCUCAAGCAACGUAUAUUUACUGAGCCAAAAGUAUGGGUCUCUGCCCUCAGGGGUUUUCAAUCCAGUGGUGGAGACAGAGUCAAUCACACAAAUGCCUGUAAAGUGCCGAACGUGACAGGUGCCAUCGAGGAGAAGUAUAUGGUGAUGAGGAGGAGUGUAGCAAGCAAGGGGGAGAGCGGCAUAAAAUGAGGCUGAAGAGGUGAGCAGCUAGGUACCAGUCAGUUAAGGGCUUGGGAAAGAUCGAGAAUGUUUAGCAGGAGAUAAGUGUGGCAUCACUCCUGCCAGCUGAAAAGACGACCCUGGAGGCCAGUGGAGCUGCGAUAGGAAGAGGGCUAAGUGGGAGCAGGGAGACUAGGCAGGAGGCUACAGAGGUCAUCCUGGAGAGAGCACAGUGGCUUAGAUCAGGCAGUAGAGAAGGAGAGAGAGUGGACAGAUGUGGGGUGUGUUGUUAAGGACAGGAUCGGCUAUAUGACUGGUGCAAAAUGAGACGAACACAAAUGAAAACACAAGGGACUUCCCUGGUGGUUAAGAAUCCGCCUGCCAAUGCCGGGGACACGGGUUUGAGCCCUGGUCCGGGAAGACCCCACGUG